This 594-nucleotide long non-coding RNA is filed under the name Helianthus annuus (common sunflower). RNAcentral describes it as "hypothetical non coding rna". Lineage: Eukaryota; Viridiplantae; Streptophyta; Magnoliopsida; Asterales; Asteraceae. The record is from RNAcentral.
GACUUGUGAGAAGUGAAAACACAGUCUGAGAUCCACGUCUCCUCCAUCAAGCCGCUGCCUCCUUCCUUCGUAUUGCUGCCGCACGCCUCCCUCAACACCACCAACACUCUCCUCGAUCUCACCUUCUUCCGAUCUCUCCCUAAACUCUCUCAGGCAACAAAAUAGUACACCGCCGGCGACCAAACCCUCCAUGUUCCCUUAGCUCCGGUUUCUGUUUUUCCGGCAACCGGCGUUAGACAUCCUAACCAUUUCCGACUGUUUAAGGUCACCGCGGUCUCGAUCUACCAUUGCAUAUGCUUUUCUCAACCCAUUUGUUGUGGCUAGGGUUUCAAGCAGCGAUGGAGCAGUUGUACUGUUAGCACGGUGGUUUCAAGUGUGUUUUGGCAUUUGUAGUGGAUUCCGGCAGGACCGUCAAGAGAUCCUCGGAUAUGUGUUAGUCAGUGGCCGGCAUGAUCUCUUAUUCUGGUCGUCAACAACUCAAUGCCAACUAAGGACAUCAUUGUAACUUUAUAAGAAAGGGCAAUAUUGUAAUUUUGGUCGGUCACCGACCUUUCAUUUUAAGAUUAUAUAAAUAUUUUAGAAGUUGAAUUAUUU